This 433-nucleotide ribosomal RNA is filed under the name uncultured bacterium. RNAcentral's name for it is "partial 16S ribosomal RNA". It matches the Rfam family "Bacterial small subunit ribosomal RNA", at positions 29 to 507 of the family's 1533-position model. The record is from RNAcentral.
AACGAACGCUGGCGGCAUGCCUAACACAUGCAAGUCGAACGAGACCUUCGGGUCUAGUGGCGCACGGGUGCGUAACGCGUGGGAACCUGCCCUUAGGUUCGGAAUAACUCCCCGAAAGGGGUGCUAAUACCGGAUAAUGUCUUCGGACCAAAGAUUUAUCGCCUUUGGAUGGGCCCGCGUUGGAUUAGCUAGUUGGUAGGGUAAAAGCCUACCAAGGCGACGAUACAUAGCUGGUCUGAGAGGAUGAUCAGACACACUGGGACUGAGACACGGCCCAGACUCCUACGGGAGGGAGCAGUGGGGAAUAUUGGACAAUGGGCGAAAGCCUGAUCCAGCAAUGCCGCGUGAGUGAUGAAGGCCUUAGGGUUGUAAAGCUCUUUUACCCGGGAUGAUAAUGACAGUACCGGGAGAAUAAGCACCGGCUAACUCCGUG